GAUCCACCCCAAACGUUCCUCCAGCCUCACCCACAGGGAUCUCAAAAUUGAAAGCAGGUCACUCCUCUCCUUGGCUUGAAACUGCCACGGCUGCCUGUCUCCCUACGGAUAUCACACCAAAAGCUCCCUGGGGCCUAAAGGCCCUGCACCAUCUGCCCGCACCCCCCAGCUCCUCCUGCUCCCCCUCACUCACUCUGAUCCGGCCGCACAGGCCUCCCUGCUCUUCUCAGAAGGAACCGUAACCCCAAUGUCACUUGGAGUACAGAUGUUUUGGGGCGGCGGGCUCCUCCUCCACCCCCCAUUUCUGGGCUACUGAUUGUUCCAAUCCAAGUGAACGUGAACGCUGGGUCUUUGGCAGAAAGGUGCCUUCCAUUCUGUUGGCUGCCAUAUCAGGACACCCGGAGUAAGCAGGGCAUCCCCGUUUUGAGCUGCUGAAACCACCCUCACCUGACCCGGGGAAGGCUUUGACUGGGAAGUCUGUAAGGACAGCAUUUGGCACAGAUCCGUUUUCCUUUUCGCUUCCAUUGCAUCAAGCAAGUGAGAUGAGCAUUUAGGAAAAGCGGAAAUCAUCUCCGACGACCGCCACCAAAUGAUACAGUAUUCAUUUCAGAAACUAUAAUGUAACAACUUUUGUAACAUCGGCUCUGAAUAAUCAUCAUAAAAGGUCUUGCCUC
Long non-coding RNA from Eptesicus fuscus (big brown bat), 674 nucleotides. RefSeq lists it as uncharacterized. NCBI's taxonomy places the organism in Eukaryota, Metazoa, Chordata, Mammalia, Chiroptera, Vespertilionidae. The transcript is spliced from 3 exons. The record is from RefSeq and is a predicted model, not a curated record.